UCCCUGGUAGUCCAGUGGUUAGGGCUCUGUGCUCUUACUGCCGAGGACCCAGGUUUGAUCCCUGGUUGGGGAA
Balaenoptera acutorostrata (minke whale) is the source of this 73-nucleotide non-coding RNA. NCBI's taxonomy places the organism in Eukaryota, Metazoa, Chordata, Mammalia, Artiodactyla, Balaenopteridae. The record is from the annotation of a RefSeq genome assembly.